GCUUUAUCUACAUUUAAUUGGAGGUAUUCUAGAAAUACCUUACUCCCAUCAGCUAGAUUAGGGGAAGAUCAGGUUCUUGAGAGAAAUGCGUUUGGACCUGUGGGUUUCUACCACUUAUAAAAUCCUGAGAUUGUUGAAAUGAGCUUAAUUGGUUUUGAAAACAUAUUUGCUGCACAGGUUUUGUCUUUAUGCUGGGAUGUAAAGGUGAGAGCAUUGUCAUAGCUAAAAUGAGGAUUUUAUGGAGUCGAAGACCUGGUCCACAUCUUGGCUCUACUUUCCUUACCUUUACCAGGCAUAAGCAGAAUCUCUAACAGGACUGUUGGGAAAUUUGAAUGAGCCAAUGUAAAUAAAGAGGCAUACUUGCCCCUUUGAGUAUGUGGCUAAAAACCAGGCUUAGUGGAGAUUUCCCAGCAGGAGAGGUAAGUUGGCUAGGCUUUUGUUCCUCUCACCUGAUCUCGUGCACCUCAGUUUAACUCUUCUUCACUUUUUCGAAGCAUUGGUGUAGCCAUUAUGUGGGGACCUGCAGCUGCCACAUAUCUAUGGACACUUUUGAAUAAAUGACCCUGGCAGCUAUGUUCAUUGAACAAAGUAUGCCAUCACUACUGAAAAGUUUUGUGCCAAAUUCUUUGGAUCUGCAAGUAUUGACUUCUGGUUUGGAAACUAAGAAAGAGAAGCCUGGAUAAUCCAUCUAAUCAGUUAGCAAGGAACCAAAGAGAGGGUGUUAAAGUAGCUAGUUAAUUCCAAUUUUAAUCAUGUGAUCUUGGUCUCAAGUAAGAGCUAACAACAGAUAAGAUUAAAACCUAGUGUCAGAGCUGUAGGUUCCAAAAUAGUUCUUCCUGCAGAAUGUUUGCUGUCCAUAUAUGCCUUAUCAGAAUCCUCCAGUUUUAUUCUUAUAGUCACAAUGAGCCAAAAGCUAGAUUUACCUUGUACAUUUGCACAUGGAUGUCUGGGUUCCUGGGAACUGGCUUGCUUUACACGUUUCUCUCCAUAAACGCAUUCUGUAGAAAGGUCCCUCUGCAUCUAGGAGGUGAAAAAAAGCAGGGAGGAGGGAGGACAGAACAAUGUCCUUUCUAUUCUCAUAAUCUUGGGAGGCUUCCUAGAGGGCAAAUGGCUGGAAAAGAUGGGUGGAGAUGAGUACAUGGAAUUUUGCUGUCAUGGAUUUCUUUCAUUGUUCUAUAUCCUCAACGUGUUCACUCAAAGAGGUUAUUAAGCUCCUGCUACCAGGCAUCAUAAUUUGUUGGCUUGGGAACCAGACUCCAGUUCUUCCAUCUUGGACAAAUUUCUUCAGUUCUCAUUAUCUCAAUGUCUUCAUCUAUAAAAUAGGGAUAAUAACAAUACAUGUUUCACAGGGUCAUUG
This 1357-nucleotide long non-coding RNA is filed under the name Marmota monax (woodchuck). Lineage: Eukaryota; Metazoa; Chordata; Mammalia; Rodentia; Sciuridae. The record is from RNAcentral.